AGAGUUUGAUCCUGGCUCAGGACGAACGCUGGCGGCGUGCUUAACACAUGCAAGUCGAGCGAUGAAAUCCCUUCGGGGAUGGAUUAGCGGCGGACGGGUGAGUAACACGUGGGCAACCUGCCUCAAAGAGGGGGAUAGCCUCCCGAAAGGGAGAUUAAUACCGCAUAAUAUUAGAGAGUCACAUGACUUUUUAAUCAAAG
RNAcentral lists this ribosomal RNA (200 nucleotides) under uncultured bacterium. RNAcentral's name for it is "partial 16S ribosomal RNA". It matches the Rfam family "Bacterial small subunit ribosomal RNA", at positions 8 to 206 of the family's 1533-position model. The record is from RNAcentral.